This 492-nucleotide ribosomal RNA is filed under the name uncultured bacterium. RNAcentral's name for it is "partial 16S ribosomal RNA". It matches the Rfam family "Bacterial small subunit ribosomal RNA", at positions 29 to 507 of the family's 1533-position model. The record is from RNAcentral.
AGUGAACGCUGGCGGUGUGCCUAACACAUGCAAGUCGAACGGCAGCACAGUAAGCUCUUGCUCUUACGGGUGGCGAGUGGCGGACGGGUGAGGAAUACAUCGCAAUCUACUUUUUCGUGGGGGAUCACGUAGGGCAACUUACACUAAUACCGCAUACUACCUACGGGUGAAAGCAGGGGAUCUUCGGACCUUGCGCGAUUGAAUGAGCCGAUGUCGGAUUAGCUAGUUGGCUGGGUAAAGGCCCACCAAGGCGACGAUCCGUAGCUGGUCUGAGAGGAUGAUCAGCCACACUGGAACUGAGACACGGUCCAGACUCCUACGGGAGGCAGCAGUGGGGAAUCUUGGACAAUGGGCGAAAGCCUGACCCAGCCACGCCGCGUGGGUGAAGAAGGCCUUCGGGUUGUAAAGCCCUUUUGUUAGGAAAGAAAAGAAGCAGAUUAAUACGCCGCUGUUCUGACGGUACCUAAAGAAAAAGCACCGGCUAACUUCGUG